This 67-nucleotide transfer RNA is filed under the name Sphaerodactylus townsendi. Its description in RNAcentral is "tRNA-Ala". Lineage: Eukaryota; Metazoa; Chordata; Lepidosauria; Squamata; Sphaerodactylidae. The record is from RNAcentral.
GGAGGCUCAGUGGCAGGGCGACGGCCUUGCAUACAGGAAGUCCCAGGUUAAAUACCUGGCAUCUCCC